GUCGCGGUGAAUACGUUCCCGGGCCUUGUACACACCGCCCGUCACACCAUGGGAGUGGGUUGCACCAGAAGUAGCUAGUCUAACCUUCGGGGGGACGGUUACCACGGUGUGAUUCAUGACUGGGGUGAAGUCGUAACAAGGUAGCCGUAGGGGAACCUGCGGCUGGAUCACCUCCUUA
This 178-nucleotide ribosomal RNA is filed under the name Pseudomonas putida. Its description in RNAcentral is "partial 16S ribosomal RNA". It matches the Rfam family "Bacterial small subunit ribosomal RNA", at positions 1356 to 1533 of the family's 1533-position model. The record is from RNAcentral. Lineage: Bacteria; Pseudomonadati; Pseudomonadota; Gammaproteobacteria; Pseudomonadales; Pseudomonadaceae.